RNAcentral lists this ribosomal RNA (465 nucleotides) under Triticum aestivum (bread wheat). Its description in RNAcentral is "partial small subunit ribosomal RNA". The record is from RNAcentral. Lineage: Eukaryota; Viridiplantae; Streptophyta; Magnoliopsida; Poales; Poaceae.
AUGCUGCCGCCGCUGCUGCUGCCAAGUUGCUCCUCUGCCAUGCUGUUGCUGCUUUGCUGUGCUGCUGCUCCUCUGCUUGCGCCUUGCGAUAUUGUUGUGUACCAAAAUGUCUUAAAUGUAAAAUGUACUACUACAUGCUACCGCUGCAAGUGCUCUGAGGCGGGGAGUACGUUCGAGAUGGUGGCCAAGAACGAGAUGUGGGCAGCUAAAGACGCAGCAACGAGGGCACGGGCAGUUGACGAGUCGAAGAAGUACAAGAGGUCGCUUGUGGAGAUCGGUGUGAUGCUGUCGAUCAGCGCCAUCUACAUCCUCCUGAGCUUCCUCGUGCCGGGGAUGUCCUGGCAGCACCAGAUCAUGUGCUGGCAGAACGCGAUGAUGGCCUUCGCUUUCACCAUGAUGUUCACCUGGAUGCACCUGAGGACCUUUCGCUGGUCCAUCCACAAGACUGAGUUGCCUCUGGUUUAA